This 465-nucleotide ribosomal RNA is filed under the name Vreelandella stevensii. Its description in RNAcentral is "partial 16S ribosomal RNA". It matches the Rfam family "Bacterial small subunit ribosomal RNA", at positions 338 to 795 of the family's 1533-position model. The record is from RNAcentral. Lineage: Bacteria; Pseudomonadati; Pseudomonadota; Gammaproteobacteria; Oceanospirillales; Halomonadaceae.
CCUACGGGUGGCAGCAGUGGGGAAUAUUGGACAAUGGGCGAAAGCCUGAUCCAGCCAUGCCGCGUGUGUGAAAAAGGCCUUCGGGUUGUAAAGCACUUUCAGUGGGGAAGAAAGCCUUGGGGCUAAUACCCUCGAGGAAGGACAUCACCCACAGAAGAAGCACCGGCUAACUCCGUGCCAGCAGCCGCGGUAAUACGGAGGGUGCGAGCGUUAAUCAGAAUUACUGGGCGUAAAGCGCGCGUAGGCGGUCUGAUAAGCCGGUUGUGAAAGCCCCGGGCUCAACCUGGGAACGGCAUCCGGAACUGUCAGGCUAGAGUGCAGGAGAGGAAGGUAGAAUUCCCGGUGUAGCGGUGAAAUGCGUAGAGAUCGGGAGGAAUACCAGUGGCGAAGGCGGCCUUCUGGACUGACACUGACGCUGAGGUGCGAAAGCGUGGGUAGCAAACAGGAUUAGAUACCCUAGUAGUC